GACGAACGCUGGCGGCGUGCUUAACACAUGCAAGUCGAACGGAAAGGCCCUGCUUUUGUGGGGUGCUCGAGUGGCGAACGGGUGAGUAACACGUGAGUAACCUGCCCUUGACUUUGGGAUAACUUCAGGAAACUGGGGCUAAUACCGGAUAGGAGCUCCUGCUGCAUGGUGGGGGUUGGAAAGUUUCGGCGGUUGGGGAUGGACUCGCGGCUUAUCAGCUUGUUGGUGGGGUAGUGGCUUACCAAGGCUUUGACGGGUAGCCGGCCUGAGAGGGUCACCGGCAACAUUGGGACUGAGAUACGGCCCAGACUCCUACGGGGGGCAGCAGUGGGGAAUAUUGCACAAUGGGCGGAAGCCUGAUGCAGAAACGCCGCGUGCGGGAUGACGGCCUUCGGGUUGUAAACCGCUUUCGCCUGUGACGAAGCGUGAGUGACGGUAAUGGGUAAAGAAGCACCGGCUAACUACGUG
RNAcentral lists this ribosomal RNA (468 nucleotides) under uncultured bacterium. RNAcentral's name for it is "partial 16S ribosomal RNA". It matches the Rfam family "Bacterial small subunit ribosomal RNA", at positions 28 to 507 of the family's 1533-position model. The record is from RNAcentral.